RNAcentral lists this ribosomal RNA (510 nucleotides) under Calligrapha ramulifera. Its description in RNAcentral is "partial 16S ribosomal RNA". The stretch from base 383 to 510 matches the Rfam family "Bacterial large subunit ribosomal RNA", at positions 2473 to 2600 of the family's 2925-position model. Lineage: Eukaryota; Metazoa; Arthropoda; Insecta; Coleoptera; Chrysomelidae. The record is from RNAcentral.
GUCUUUUUGUUAAAAAUUUAAAGUCGGGCCUGCCCACUGAAAAUUUAAAUGGCCGUGGUAUUUUGACCGUGCUAAGGUAGCAUAAUCAUUAGUUUUUUAAUUGAAAGCUGGAAUGAAAGGUUUGAUAAAAAAGUAACUGUCUCUAUUUAAUUUUAUUAAAAAUUUAUUUUUAAGUUCAAAAGCUUAAUUUUUAUUAAAAGACGAGAAGACCCUAUAGAGUUUAAUAAUUUAAUAUAACUUGUAUUUUAGAAUUAAUUUAUUUAUUUUUUAGAAUUAUUUAAUUGGGGUGAUUGAAAAAUUUAAUUAACUUUUUUUAUAUUUUACCAUUAAUUUAUGAUAAUUUGAUCCAAUUUUUUUGAUUAUAAGAUAAAAUUACCUUAGGGAUAACAGCGUAAUUUUUUUAGAAAGUUCAAAUUAAAAGAAAAGAUUGCGACCUCGAUGUUGGAUUAAAAUUAAAUUUUGGUGUAGAAGCUAAAAAUUUUAAGUCUGUUCGACUUUUAAAAUUUUACA